GAACCUUACCGGGUCUUGACAUCCUUUGAAGCUUUUAGAGAUAGAAGUGUUCUCUUCGGAGACAAAGUGACAGGUGGUGCAUGGUCGUCGUCAGCUCGUGUCGUGAGAUGUUGGGUUAAGUCCCGCAACGAGCGCAACCCUUAUUGUUAGUUGCCAGCAUUCAGAUGGGCACUCUAGCGAGACUGCCGGUGACAAACCGGAGGAAGGCGGGGACGACGUCAGAUCAUCAUGCCCCUUAUGACCUGGGCUACACACGUGCUACAAUGGCGUAUACAACGAGUUGCCAACCCGCGAGGGUGAGCUAAUCUCUUAAAGUACGUCUCAGUUCGGAUUGUAGUCUGCAACUCGACUACAUGAAGUCGGAAUCGCUAGUAAUCGCGGAUCAGCACGCCGCGGUGAAUACGUUCCCGGGUCUUGUACACACCGCCU
This 429-nucleotide ribosomal RNA is filed under the name uncultured bacterium. RNAcentral's name for it is "bacterial SSU rRNA". It matches the Rfam family "Bacterial small subunit ribosomal RNA", at positions 966 to 1395 of the family's 1533-position model. The record is from RNAcentral.